CUACUUCCGGGGAGGAGAGAAAGACGUUACUGAUCCGCUUCUGUCCUGGUUCUGUGGUUGCAGUGGAUCCCAGCAGUAGCUCCAUGCACACUGGAACACCGGGGAUGGGGUGGGGAGAGUGUGUGUGACUUUGACCACGUAGUACUAAUCUGAUAAUAACUUUAAUAAUACACAUACUUAGGUGUUUUUGAUAUGGGGGUCUCCUAUAUUCAGGGCUGGCCGUGAAUUCCUCAGACUCCUGCCUCCACCUCCUAAAGUGUAAGCCUGGGGUAGACAGGGAGUGCUGGGACUGGACCCCAGAGCCUUGGACACGCUAGAGGAGCGUUCGUCCCACUGAGCCACAGCCCUAUCUUUGAUCAAUUUAAACCAGAGGAACUUGAGCACAGACCCUGAAGGGGAAAGGCUCGAGUUGGGCCACACCUUUGAAUACAUUUGAAGUUGUCGGUGAGUCGCUGAGGGACUCCAGUCAAAUGGCAAGUGCCCUCUUAACCUCCAUUUGCUUGGAUUUUUGCAAUGGGACACCUUUGGUGCACAGGCUGACUCUCAUUGGUUACCCUCUCUGCUUAAGUCCCUGCUUUGCCUGAUCUCCCAGAACAGGCACAUUUUAACUACUCAGCUAACCCACUAACUGCACCCCUGACUGGCAGAAAGAAGGCGGGCACAUCCUCAGAUACACAUCCCUCCGGAAGGAGCCUAGAUAGAAGGUCUGUCCCUUGUUACUUCAGCCUCACUUUUGAAUGGUCAGCGACUGGCAUAUGGGUGUCUGCGGAGCCCUGGACCCCACAGGCCCAAUGUAUGUAGGUUCAGUUAUGCCACUGACCUUAGCCAAGAACCAGACCACAGAGUUGCUACAUCAGGGGCGGGCCUUAUUACUAGGUUGGGGGUUCCAUGCCCUUAGGAUUGUGGAGCAAGGAAAAUUCUUUGCCCUCAGGAGACCAUGUCCUCUGGUUGACACAAAAGGAUAUCAGGCUGAAGAGACAGUUCAGUGGGUAAAGUGUGUGUCAUAUAGCAUGAGGACCACAUAAACCAUGUGUGGUGGCCCACACUUGUAACCCCUGUCAACAUAGGAUGACAGACACGGGAUCCAAAGGCUGAACUACUCUGGUCACCUCCAGGUUCAGCCAAAAGCCUGUCUCAGGUACGGCUAGGAGCACUGCCUGUUCAUUCAUGUUGGGUUUGGUUUCCAGCACCCACAUGGCAGCACCCAGCCCCUUGUAGCUCCAUUUCUGGGAGAUCUGAUGCCCUCUUUUGACAUCAGAGCCUGCACACACGUGGUGCACAGAUAAAUAUACAGACAAAACAUCCCAUAAACUUUAAAAAAAGCAAAGCUGGGUAUGGUGGCCACGUGUUUAAUGCUUAGGACUGGGGAGACUGACAGACCUGGAGCUGAGUUAAUACCAGCCUUGCCAGCAUGGCAAGCUACAGGCCAAACACACACAGUGCAACCUUAAAAAAGGUCAUAAGGCAGAGGGCCUCAGUGGUAAGUUGCCUGAGGACCCAACUUCAUAGAGAUGUAGCUACACUUCUGUAAGUCUAGAUCAGGGAGAUGGAGACUGUCAGAGGGUGGCCAUGCACCCCCGGGCAUAGGGACUCACAGCCACUUGGGCCCAAGACAGGUCAAUUGCUUCCCAAAAGCCUGAAGUCUGGGUGAUCCCACACUCUCCUGCCUGUUUGCCACUAAAGCAGAGAUAAGGCAAGGCAGUCUUGUAUUCAUUCCAGCUGUUCCUCCCAUGGCUUCCAGAAGUGGCAGGUUCCCGAGCCAAAGUGGUAAACAGAUUAUUUGCCAUAACAAGGCGUUACCAUGGUUCCGAACAAAAUCUUCCUCACUAGAGGCUUUUGAGGUGUUUCAGGAAGUGUAACUUGUGGGGACAGAGGUCAGCAUGGAACAGGCAUGAACAGUGUUGUGGUGUGUCCUGGUGGUCUCACCAUUAUCCUACCAAGAGACUAGGAUGCCACUGGGAUCUGAAACAAGGGGACAAUACUUGGGAGGGGACCCAAGGACCAGUGUACAGAUGAGAAUGUAGGAGGCAGCUGUGGGAGCAUAGGCUUGUGUGAUGUGUCUGCUGACCCAGCUUUACAGCUGGAAUCAACUCACCCAACCUGCUGGGCACACCUGUAGGGGACGCUUGUGCUGGGACCCCCUAAACCUGGGCCACACCUUCCGGUGGUAGCCCACAUAAGAGGGCAUGGAAGGAGAAUGCUUUUGCUUUUUGCCUGCUUGCCCUCACUGGUGUCAGAACCCUGUUCUUCAGGAUUCCAGUGCAGACCCAAGACCAGCAUCCCCUAGGAAUCCUACAGGACUCCAGCACUGAAUUGGGACUGCUGGCACACUGAAUAGCUACAGUAUUCUUGGAGACAGUCGCUUUGUCGCUGUUGAGAAUACCCAGGUCAUGGCCUGUAAGCCAUUCUAAUAUCCUUACACACACACACACACACACACCUUAUUCUAGCAACUUUUCUUUAGAGGUCCCCUAAUGCAUGACACCCAAGUAUUGAGGACCAUGAGGACGGCCCACUUCACAUGAGGAGGGCAUGGUUUAGCCAAGGAGCACAUGCCUGGCACAGACAGGCCUUGGGUUCAUGUUCAUGGGAAGAGGAAGGGGCAAGCAUCUAGAUCUUGUGCCAGGCCUCAGGGUAGGGGUGACCCUUAGAUCAACACUGGGUCUUUUGAAUGCUACUUUAAUAACCUUGUAGACCAUGAAAUAUGACGAUAAAUUCUAGAAACAGAAACAGACAUGAGACUUUUAUACAAAAAUUUGUUGCUUACAAAACAUACG
RNAcentral lists this long non-coding RNA (2777 nucleotides) under Mus musculus (house mouse). RNAcentral's name for it is "long non-coding RNA chr10:80406877-80409654". The record is from RNAcentral. Lineage: Eukaryota; Metazoa; Chordata; Mammalia; Rodentia; Muridae.